ACUGCGAUAGCUUAGCUGGUAGAGCAACCCCGAUGUACGCAGAAGGCCGCCGGUUCAGUUCCGGCUCGCAGUG
RNAcentral lists this transfer RNA (73 nucleotides) under Fasciola gigantica. Its description in RNAcentral is "tRNA-Thr". The record is from RNAcentral. Lineage: Eukaryota; Metazoa; Platyhelminthes; Trematoda; Plagiorchiida; Fasciolidae.